GGGUUGUGAGGUUAAGCGACUAAGCGUACACGGUGGAUGCCCUGGCAGUCAGAGGCGAUGAAGGGCGUGCUAAUCUGCGAUAAGCGCCGGUAAGGUGAUAUGAACCGUUAUAACCGGCGAUACCCGAAUGGGGAAACCCAGUGUGACUCGUCACACUAUCAUUAACUGAAUCCAUAGGUUAAUGAGGCGAACCGGGGGAACUGAAACAUCUAAGUACCCCGAGGAAAAGAAAUCAACCGAGAUUCCCCCAGUAGCGGCGAGCGAACGGGGAGGAGCCCAGAGCCUGAAUCAGCAUGUGUGUUAGUGGAAGCGUCUGGAAAGGCGCGCGAUACAGGGUGACAGCCCCGUACACAAAAGCGCAUGUGCUGUGAGCUCGAUGAGUAGGGCGGGACACGUGGUAUCCUGUCUGAAUAUGGGGGGACCAUCCUCCAAGGCUAAAUACUCCUGACUGACCGAUAGUGAACCAGUACCGUGAGGGAAAGGCGAAAAGAACCCCGGCGAGGGGAGUGAAAAAGAACCUGAAACCGUGUACGUACAAGCAGUGGGAGCCCCACCACCAAAGCAUUUGCUGUACCGCGUUGACGGAGCGAAGCGACGUCAAACCGAUAAAACAGCAGUGUAAAGUGAGCCGCAGGGCGCUUUGCGCGACAGCGCAAAGGCAGGCGGUUUCGCGUAGCGAAAGCGAAUGCUUUGGGGUGGGGUGACUGCGUACCUUUUGUAUAAUGGGUCAGCGACUUAUAUUCUGUAGCAAGGUUAACCGAAUAGGGGAGCCGGAGGGAAACCGAGUCUUAAUUGGGCGUUAAGUUGCAGGGUAUAGACCCGAAACCCGGUGAUCUAGCCAUGGGCAGGUUGAAGGUUGGGUAACACUAACUGGAGGACCGAACCGACUAAUGUUGAAAAAUUAGCGGAUGACCUGUGGCUGGGGGUGAAAGGCCAAUCAAACCGGGAGAUAGCUGGUUCUCCCCGAAAGCUAUUUAGGUAGCGCCUCGUGAAUUCAUCUCCGGGGGUAGAGCACUGUUUCGGCUAGGGGGCCAUCCCGGCUUACCAACCCGAUGCAAACUGCGAAUACCGGAGAAUGUUAUCACGGGAGACACACGGCGGGUGCUAACGUCCGUCGUGAAGAGGGAAACAACCCAGACCGCCAGCUAAGGUCCCAAAGUCAUGGUUAAGUGGGAAACGAUGUGGGAAGGCCCAGACAGCCAGGAUGUUGGCUUAGAAGCAGCCAUCAUUUAAAGAAAGCGUAAUAGCUCACUGGUCGAGUCGGCCUGCGCGGAAGAUGUAACGGGGCUAAACCAUG
RNAcentral lists this ribosomal RNA (1297 nucleotides) under Salmonella enterica subsp. enterica serovar Enteritidis. RNAcentral's name for it is "partial 23S ribosomal RNA". It matches the Rfam family "Bacterial large subunit ribosomal RNA", at positions 1 to 1191 of the family's 2925-position model. Lineage: Bacteria; Pseudomonadati; Pseudomonadota; Gammaproteobacteria; Enterobacterales; Enterobacteriaceae. The record is from RNAcentral.